UCUGGCGGUGCCGCUUGGUCCGUGGAGCGUACGCUGCCGCGCUCCAGUCGCCUUAGGCCUGGGGCUUCCUCGGGUGUUUCCGGGUGGCCGACCUCCAAGUUACCCUCGAUCCCCUCUCCCUCAUCUCCAGAUACACUAGGGUUUCAUAACACCACUGCUGUUACUCCCAAACGCUGAUAGAGCCGUUUGCCCCAAAUAAGAUUUAGAUCGUAAACUCAUUACUUAAUCCUCGAGAACGGUUAGACUGGAACUAAAGCAUCGUGUUGUUUACAGACGAGCUUCAGAGUUGCUCCCAAGGUCACUGAGCUGUGGGUGACCAAACUGCCACCAGAUUGUGCCCGCCCACGUCUCACACUACGGAAAAGCCCGAUCCUGGAAAGUCGGCCCAACUCUGGCUGGUUUCCCGCCUCUCACCCAAACUGCAGGAUUUGGCAGAGAAGGGUGUCGUCAUCAUCCCGGACUCUUGAAAGGUUUAAUAGAAACUCAAAUGCAAAUGAGACCGGCCAGGCCAUCUGGACGCUCACCUUUACCGAAUAACAGUAAAAAGAAAUUUCUGAAAAGAAUUAUUUUUAAUUCUGGGCCCCCAAACAAAUGCCAGGAAGGGAAAACAGAGCCUCAAGAAUAAUUCACUACUGGGAGAGAAAUACCGCAAUCCUGCUCGAAAAAUCGCUAACCCCUCCCUCUCUGGAACAAUUCUAGAACCACAUGAAGCUGUCAGAGGGACAUGUCAAUAUUUCUUGGUGGGGACAAGGAAUGGAGAUCAUACGUUGUGUCCCAUCUUACAGUGGUGCCUUCCGUUGCCCAAAGCCCCUGGGAAACCUGAGGACAAGAGAGCUGAGUGAUGCAAGCUUAGAGUCAGCCUCACAGCAACAGAAUAGGGCAGAGAAGACCAGAAAACUGAUUCAGGGCUGUGUUAUCCAAUAAAGCAGCCACUGGACAAACACAA
Molecule: long non-coding RNA, 946 nt
Organism: Felis catus (domestic cat)
Lineage: Eukaryota; Metazoa; Chordata; Mammalia; Carnivora; Felidae
Exons: 4
Source: RefSeq, a predicted model, not a curated record